UCUCUAUGCAGUGGCUGUCUGUCUCAAACACCAACAACUGGCUGCAGAGAUGCUAUCAGAAGAGGACUGUAACUUGCCAACUAGAUAUGGCUGUCAUAGGUAGCUGAAGCCAGACUAUUCUAUAGCAUUCAUGGAGAUCAGUAAAGAUAUUAAAAACUCAGAAGAACUUUGGAAAACGAAGCCUCAGGGGAACCUGGAAGAUAACAGUUACUCAGUAAAAUAAUGGCCUAUAAUAGCUAAUAAUUAAAGUCUGUAUACUUCAAGUGUA
Grammomys surdaster is the source of this 268-nucleotide long non-coding RNA. RefSeq lists it as uncharacterized. The record is from RefSeq and is a predicted model, not a curated record. The transcript is spliced from 3 exons. NCBI's taxonomy places the organism in Eukaryota, Metazoa, Chordata, Mammalia, Rodentia, Muridae.